UGGCCGAACUGUUCCGAGUUGUUACGUAUAAUAAAAAUCAAUGCUAAUUUAGUAUUUCCACGAAUGAAAUAGAAAAACGAAACUAAAUUUCAUUUUAAUUUUAGUCUGAGAACAUCUGAAAGAAAAUGGUCGUUCUGUACAGACUUUUAAGACCGGGUGAAGAUCCAAGUGUAGGCCUCUAUCCGAAAGACCCUCUUUCUCACGUCACUGUAGAAGACCACGUGACCUAUGGAUCUGGAGGAUCUGAAUCACGAUUUAUUUCAUGCUGCAAGUCAGAAUCAGCAAUUCAAAGAUUUGUUGCUAAAACGUGGGCAUCGUCGAUAAGGAUUGUACAAAUUGAUAUCGAUGAAGGAGACCCAGAGAUUAUUGAAAUCAUCGAUUUGACAGAUCCAGAAACCGUGGACGCAUAUUUUCAGAAAGACAACGAGAAAGGAAGAAAUUUUGCGUCAUGGGCUGAGGAAGUUUUAGUUGUCGGCAAAAUUCGACCAGAAUGCAUAACAGAACUAUAAGAGUGAAGAAAUAUGUAGAACAUAUUGUAGAGGAACUCAGUUUACAUGAGCUACGACUUCUUUGUUUUUGAAUUACAUUGAUUUGAUAAAGAUAAUUUUUAGUAAAAAAAAAAACUAUAUAAAAAAAUGUAGGUUUUCUAAGUAUUUUUUAUUGUUGGGGAAUUGCAAUGUGAUAUUAUAUUUGCUAUAUUUUCUGAUAUAUCCGUUUUUCAUCUUCGGUUGUGAAGAGGUAAAUUUUAUAACUUUUAUUAUACCAAUGUUUUAAAAAAAGCCAAUGCAUGCAAUUGAAAAUGUGUAUUUUUUAUGGUUCAUGUGAAAUUUUAUAAGUAAAUUAUAUAUACAUAAUUCUUUAUUUUGUUGAUGAAUAAUUGCUGACUUUAAUAACUUUCUGUAUUUUGAUUUUUCUUGUAUUUCUGUGAAAUUCAAAAGUGCAUAUCUUUUUUUUUUAGUAAAUACA
This is an RNA transcript of Saccostrea cuccullata (small rock oyster), 966 nucleotides long. RefSeq lists it as uncharacterized. The transcript has 2 exons. NCBI's taxonomy places the organism in Eukaryota, Metazoa, Mollusca, Bivalvia, Ostreida, Ostreidae. The record is from RefSeq and is a predicted model, not a curated record.